UUUGAUGAGAAGAAUAAGCCUCGUUUUGAUUCAAUAGCAGAGAUCAAAGAAAAAGCUUUUGUCUUCUGGGCACCAGAUAUAUGUUAUCUGUGUUUAAAGAAAUGAAAAGCACACAUCAAAGAAGCAUUGGCUUGGAAAGAGAGG
Dipodomys ordii (Ord's kangaroo rat) is the source of this 144-nucleotide unclassified non-coding RNA. Lineage: Eukaryota; Metazoa; Chordata; Mammalia; Rodentia; Heteromyidae. The record is from Ensembl.